RNAcentral lists this unclassified non-coding RNA (248 nucleotides) under uncultured Sordariales. Its description in RNAcentral is "sequence contains 5.8S rRNA gene, ITS2, 28S rRNA gene". The stretch from base 1 to 52 matches the Rfam family "5.8S ribosomal RNA", at positions 103 to 154 of the family's 154-position model. The record is from RNAcentral. Lineage: Eukaryota; Fungi; Ascomycota; Sordariomycetes; Sordariales.
AACGCACAUUGCGCCCGCCAGUAUUCUGGCGGGCAUGCCUGUUCGAGCGUCAUUUCAACCAUCAAGCCCCCGGGCUUGUGUUGGGGACCUGCGGCUGCCGCAGGCCCCGAAAACCAGUGGCGGGCUCGCUGUCACCCCGAGCGUAGUAGCUUACACCUCGCCCAGGGCGUGCCGCGGGUUCCCGGCCGUUAAACCCCCCACACCACAAGGUUGACCUCGGAUCAGGUAGGAAGACCCGCUGAACUUAA